AAACAUUGACAACAACAUACACCUGUUGUCCGCCUGGGUACUACGAGCAUUAGCUUAAAACCCAAAGGACUUGGCGGUGCUUUAGACCCACCUAGAGGAGCCUGUUCUAGAACCGAUAACCCCCGUUCAACCUCACCCUUCUUUGUUUUUCCCGCCUAUAUACCGCCGUCGUCAGCUUACCCUGUGAAGGGCCUAUAGUAAGCAAAAUUGGUACAACCCUAAACGCCAGGUCGAGGUGUAGCGUAUGGAAGGGGAAGAAAUGGGCUACAUUCUCUAACAUAGAGAAAACGAAUGAUGUACUGAAAUAUAUAUCUGAAGGAGGAUUUAGCAGUAAGCAGGAAGUAGAGUGUUCC
RNAcentral lists this ribosomal RNA (353 nucleotides) under Cynoscion regalis (gray weakfish). Its description in RNAcentral is "partial 12S ribosomal RNA". It matches the Rfam family "Bacterial small subunit ribosomal RNA", at positions 804 to 1359 of the family's 1533-position model. The record is from RNAcentral. Lineage: Eukaryota; Metazoa; Chordata; Actinopteri; Sciaenidae.